GUGCAGCACAUAUGCUAAAACUGGAACAAUACAAAAAAGAUUAGGUUGCCCCUGCACAAGGGUGACACACAAAUCUGUAAAGUGUUAACAUACAUA
RNAcentral lists this small nuclear RNA (96 nucleotides) under Octodon degus (degu). The record is from RNAcentral. Lineage: Eukaryota; Metazoa; Chordata; Mammalia; Rodentia; Octodontidae.